RNAcentral lists this ribosomal RNA (245 nucleotides) under Metamycoplasma orale. Its description in RNAcentral is "Mycoplasma orale partial 16S rRNA". It matches the Rfam family "Bacterial small subunit ribosomal RNA", at positions 599 to 853 of the family's 1533-position model. The record is from RNAcentral. Lineage: Bacteria; Bacillati; Mycoplasmatota; Mycoplasmoidales; Metamycoplasmataceae.
AUCCCAGGGCUCAACCCUGGCUCGCUUUGGAUACUGGUAAACUAGAGUUAGAUAGAGGUAAGCGGAAUUCCAUGUGGAGCGGUGAAAUGCGUAGAUAUAUGGAAGAACACCAAAGGCGAAGGCAGCUUACUGGGUCUAUACUGACGCUGAGGGACGAAAGCGUGGGGAGCAAACAGGAUUAGAUACCCUGGUAGUCCACGCUGUAAACGAUGAUCAUUAGUCGGUGGAAAACUACUGACGCAGCU